AACGAACGCUGGCGGCAUGCCUAACACAUGCAAGUCGAACGCUAUUUAUAGAGUGGCGCACGGGUGAGUAACGCGUGGGAACCUGCCUUUUUCUGCGGGAUAACGGUUGGAAACGACCGCUAAUACCGCAUACGCCUACGGGGAAGGUACGCCGGAGAAAGAAGGGCCCGGCCGUCUGAUUAGCUAGUUGGUAGGGUAACGGCCGUACCAAGGCGACGAUCAGUAGCUGGUCUGAGAGGAUGAUCAGCCACACUGGGACUGAGACACGGCCCAGACUCCUACGGGAGGCAGCAGUGGGGAAGUAUUGGACAAUGGGGGCGAACCCUGAUCCAGCAAUGCCGCGUGUGUGAUGAAGGCCUUAGGGUUGUAAAGCACUUUCACUGGUGAAGAUGAUGACGGUAACCAGAGAAGAAGCCCCGGCCUAACUUCGUGCCAG
RNAcentral lists this ribosomal RNA (436 nucleotides) under uncultured Thalassospira sp. Its description in RNAcentral is "bacterial SSU rRNA". It matches the Rfam family "Bacterial small subunit ribosomal RNA", at positions 29 to 511 of the family's 1533-position model. The record is from RNAcentral. Lineage: Bacteria; Pseudomonadati; Pseudomonadota; Alphaproteobacteria; Rhodospirillales; Thalassospiraceae.